RNAcentral lists this ribosomal RNA (253 nucleotides) under uncultured bacterium. Its description in RNAcentral is "partial 16S ribosomal RNA". It matches the Rfam family "Bacterial small subunit ribosomal RNA", at positions 524 to 776 of the family's 1533-position model. The record is from RNAcentral.
UACAGAGGUGGCAAGCGUUGUUCGGAAUUACUGGGCGUAAAGGGCGCGUAGGCGGCCAUCUAAGUCAGACGUGAAAUCCCCAGGCUCAACUUGGGAACUGCGUCUGAUACUGGAUGGCUUGAAUUCGGGAGAGGGAUGCAGAAUUCCAGGUGUAGCGGUGAAAUGCGUAGAUAUCUGGAGGAAUACCGGUGGCGAAGGCGGCAUCCUGGACCGACAUUGACGCUGAACGGCGAAAGCUAGGGGAGCAAACGGG